GGAGCAUGUGGUUUAAUUCGAUGCAACGCGAAGAACCUUACCAAGGCUUGACAUAUACCGGAAACGUUCAGAAAUGUUCGCCCCGCAAGGUCGGUAUACAGGUGGUGCAUGGUUGUCGUCAGCUNGUGUCGUGAGAUGUUGGGUUAAGUCCCGCAACGAGCGCAACCCUCGUCGUAUGUUGCCAGCACGUAAUGGUGGGAACUCAUAUGAGACUGCCGGGGUCAACUCGGAGGAAGGUGGGGAUGACGUCAAAUCAUCAUGCCCCUUAUGUCUUGGGCUUCACGCAUGCUACAAUGGCUGGUACAAUGGGCUGCAAUACCGCGAGGUGGAGCGAAUCCCAAAAAGCCAGUCUCAGUUCGGAUUGGGGUCUGCAACUCGACCCCANNAAGUCGGAGUCGC
Molecule: ribosomal RNA, 399 nt
Filed under: Pseudoclavibacter sp. AZTITEMP153
Lineage: Bacteria; Bacillati; Actinomycetota; Actinomycetes; Micrococcales; Microbacteriaceae
Description: bacterial SSU rRNA
Rfam family: Bacterial small subunit ribosomal RNA
Source: RNAcentral